This is a long non-coding RNA of Castor canadensis (American beaver), 665 nucleotides long. RefSeq lists it as uncharacterized. NCBI's taxonomy places the organism in Eukaryota, Metazoa, Chordata, Mammalia, Rodentia, Castoridae. The record is from RefSeq and is a predicted model, not a curated record.
UGCGGGGCACGCUGGUGGCCAGGCUCCGGGCGAGGACAGUGUCCCCUGUGCGGCCAUGGAGUACGGGGUAACCACUCCCGGAGCUGCAGGACAAGGCUACUGGCCCUGCUGCCCAUGCUUUCACCGGGGUCUCGUAUGGUUUAAUUGCUGAUUUGCAGGGAAUCUAGGCACUGUCUUAGUAACACAGGUUCCCAAGAUACCCGUGUUCCUGGGAACCAAAGCUCCUAGGUUCUGAGGAAGACACCAGUGAGCACAUGGAAAGUGUCACCAUGAUAUAGAUUCACCUGGCCUAUAGUUGGUGUCUGGACAUGUUCCAACAUAAGACAAAGAGCAAUUACCAUCUCUACUCACUGGAAUACAUUUACCUCCCCAAGAGUCAGCUGAAUAUGCUUGCUAUUUCUGCAGGCAACUGCAAACCCAAAUGUUAACUAGCAUGGCUGAAGAUGGUGCCCAGCAGCUCAUCACUAAAGACCUCUUGGCUAACCAGUUCCUUCUGUAACCCAGUUUGGGAAUGGUCACCCCAUUAGUUCCAAGUCGCUUAUUAUCCAACCCAAAUACCUGCACUUUUUUUCACUUUGUCUGCAAAAUUAUGCAAGACUUGGCCAAUGCUCAGCAUAUACAAAACAGAUAAAAAAUUUUAAUGUGACACUAAAAAAUAAACAGAA